AACGAACGCUGGCGGCAUGCCUAACACAUGCAAGUCGAACGAGACCUUCGGGUCUAGUGGCGCACGGGUGCGUAACGCGUGGGAACCUGCCCUUAGGUUCGGAAUAACUCCCCGAAAGGGGUGCUAAUACCAGAUAAUGUCUUCGGACCAAAGAUUUAUCGCCUUUGGAUGGGCCCGCGUUGGAUUAGCUAGUUGGUAGGGUAAAAGCCUACCAAGGCGACGAUCCAUAGCUGGUCUGAGAGGAUGAUCAGCCACACUGGGACUGAGACACGGCCCAGACUCCUACGGGAGGCAGCAGUGGGGAAUAUUGGACAAUGGGCGAAAGCCUGAUCCAGCAGUGCCGCGUGAGUGAUGAAGGCCUUAGGGUUGUAAAGCUCUUUUACCCGGGAUGAUAAUGACAGUACCGGGAGAAUAAGCUCCGGCUAACUCCGUG
Molecule: ribosomal RNA, 433 nt
Filed under: uncultured bacterium
Lineage: Bacteria
Description: partial 16S ribosomal RNA
Rfam family: Bacterial small subunit ribosomal RNA
Source: RNAcentral